Molecule: ribosomal RNA, 497 nt
Filed under: uncultured bacterium
Lineage: Bacteria
Description: partial 16S ribosomal RNA
Rfam family: Bacterial small subunit ribosomal RNA
Source: RNAcentral
GAUGAACGCUGGCGGCGUGCCUAAUACAUGCAAGUCGAGCGAACAGACGAGGAGCUUGCUCCUCUGACGUUAGCGGCGGACGGGUGAGUAACACGUGGAUAACCUACCUAUAAGACUGGGAUAACUUCGGGAAACCGGAGCUAAUACCGGAUAAUAUAUUGAACCGCAUGGUUCAAUAGUGAAAGACGGUUUUGCUGUCACUUAUAGAUGGAUCCGCGCCGCAUUAGCUAGUUGGUAAGGUAACGGCUUACCAAGGCAACGAUGCGUAGCAGACCUGAGAGGGUGAUCGGCCACACUGGAACUGAGACACGGUCCAGACUCCGACGGGAGGCAGCAGUAGGGAAUCUUCCGCAAAGGGCGAAAGCCUGACGGAGCAACGCCGCGUAAGUGAUGAAGGUCUUCGGAUCGUAAAACUCUGUUAUUAGGGAAGAACAAAUGUGUAAGUAACUAUGCACGUCUUGACGGUACCUAAUCAGAAAGCCACGGCUAACUACGUG